RNAcentral lists this non-coding RNA (24 nucleotides) under Cricetulus griseus (Chinese hamster). Lineage: Eukaryota; Metazoa; Chordata; Mammalia; Rodentia; Cricetidae. The record is from RNAcentral.
UCUGAGACAGAGGGGCUAGUUGGA